Notolabrus celidotus (New Zealand spotty) is the source of this 538-nucleotide long non-coding RNA. RefSeq lists it as uncharacterized. Lineage: Eukaryota; Metazoa; Chordata; Actinopteri; Labriformes; Labridae. The transcript has 2 exons. The record is from RefSeq and is a predicted model, not a curated record.
AUCACCUUUAAACUACACCACAGUUUACUCUACUCCACUCCCUGCUUCAUAAAUUCAAGAUUCUGACCUGCAAAAGGAGAAACUGCCGGAUUUAUGCAUCGUUCUCGUUUUCAGCCGAGGCACAUGAUUACAGUAAGCCAUGAACUGUGUCUGAAGGCUCCUCUGGUUAUUCAAGAAUGACAAGUCAGGUUUGCAGCGGAUGAACCCAAACGACUCCUGGAAGCAUCACUGAUCACAGCAAUGACAGCACUGAAAGGGAAGGGAAAGUUAAAUGUCAUUGGACUAGAAACGUCUACAGGAUCACUUUAAGUUUGGAAGUCAACACAUACAAGUACUGAUAUAACCAAAAAUAAUAUAUAUAUGUAUCAUCUUAAUCAGUGUUUUAACUAGGAGAAAGGCACAGUCAAAACAUGUAUGUAAGAGGGUGAAAUUCAACUCUAGAUGGCAGUCUUGUGUGAAGAGCUUAUCCUUGAAACAAUUCUUCUCUCAGCCAGCAAAUGUAGCAGAGCUGAAGAUAAACUAACACUAAUUACUGUAA